CUCGAAUGUGGAAUCUAAAAACAGAAACAAUUCCUAUCAUAGUAGGUGCCUUAGGUAUAAUAAAAAAAUAUUCAGACAAAUACAUAACAAAAACACCAGGACUUACAAAUAUAUAUAACAUACAGAAAAUUGCACUACUGGGUACUGCACACAUUCUACGCAAAACACUUUCAAUACAGUAAACAUAAGAGCACCACAGCAAACCACAGCACAUACCCAAGGCGCACAGAGCUGCGCUCGGUAGUGAAGUGAAAGCACGUUAUAAAAUUAAAACUACUGAAUAAUAAUAAUAAUAAUAAUUCGCUUAUUGGCCACCUGGGCUCACAUAAAAUUACAUUAAAAGACAUACAACACAAAAGACAAAAACAGGACGAUACAAUGGGUAUUACAACGUGUAAACAAUAUAAUAAUCAAAAUUAAACAAUUUAAAACUCCCAAUAGGGGAGGCGCUUUAAUGCCCUCGGGGAAAACCCACAAAAGCCACGGGUGCCUGAACAACAGAGCAAGAGCCCUUUUGUUUACAGGUGCAAGCUCAGAAUUGAUCUUGUCACACUGGCCAUUCUUCCAAUAUUCACCAACUUUUCAACAAACUUGCUACAAGGCAACAUUGCCCUCUCCACCCUCAACUUCCUUUUCAAGUGAAACGUGAAAAAGUUGAUGAGGGCUUGGCCAAAGAGGAAAGUGUCUGUCUUUAGCCCUUUCAAACGGGUUCACCAUACUACCUCUUUCGCUACAGCCACUAGACAAAUAAAAAUUGCCUUCCUCUACCGGCCAAAAUAACGUGGCGGGGCAAUCUUCACAAUGGAUCCAGCUGAUAGUCGGAUCCGUCCAAUACAUGACAGCAGGUGGUCGGAUCCGUCCAACACACGACAGCAGGUGUUCCACAUAAACCCACAGGUCAGCAAUACUCGGGUACGGAACUAGGGUGUGCAGAAGUUUCAUCGUUCUGUGUGCACCUCGGGCAGACCCGGCUAACGGCACUUCCGUGCCUAUAAAGUUUAUCCCGAACAGGCAGCACUCCUCGGUAGCGCUUUUAGGCAAGGGAUUUCUGGAAGUUAUCCAUAGGCCCAGGCCUGAAAGUUCUCCGAAACAGACCGGUUAGUUGUUCUUCACUGACGCCUAGCGUUUCCCUGAGAACGUCGUCGCACUUUCCUCUACUAGCUCCCUAUAGAACGCUAGAGUAGAACUAUUACCAACCGCAUUGCUCGCCUGGUGGAGAGCUGUGAGGACUUGACGGCACUCGAGGUGCCAAGCGCUCCUCCUCGAUCUACGCCUAAGCCAGGAUUGCAGCUCAGUCAAAGAGACCAGCUGUGGAAAAGCGUGUUCACACAUGCUCACUGUCAAGGAAACGCUGGAGAUGCCGCAACCACACAGACACCACAAUGGAAGAAUUUUUCUUUCCGACACACAAUGCACAACCACUACACAUACAGAUUUUUAAAAUGAAUCAAGAAACAUAAUAAAUAAUAAUAAUAAUAAAUUUUCCAAAUGCUGUUGGGUCUUUCCAAAAGACUUUCCCCAAAUGACUCGAUAAAAACCUCGUGGAAAUGCCCACAACAAAGUCCAGGGGAACAGCACUUCCAGACAACAAUGAUGGAGAAUGCUUUCCGUAGUAUAUGGGCAUCAAAGUUAUUUUUUGUUGUUCAAGGAGAUUGGAGUUACCAGGGAGUUGCUUCAUAUACUUCUCACAUCCCAAGGCAAAAAAAAGAAAAAAAUUAAAAUUGUAAAAAUACUGACUGAAUUUAGAAAAGACAUGGAAAAAAAAACACAUUUACAUAAAUGGACACAAUUGAAGAAAAUACUAGAGAUCUGUACCUUGACAGACAUAAGCCAACAUUUUAACACUAACUUUACAAGUGUGGUCAGCCAAAAGGAUUCGAUGGACAUUGGGUCUUGGAAAAAAAAACAUGGGUGUGACUUGAUACGAGGGACAGUGCUUCCUAGCUAGAGUAAUACAAUCAGAAAGAAUUCGUAAGGAAGGCAAUAUACAUCUGUGUUACCCAAAUCAUUAACACUAUGUGAAAAUUCGCUUACUUUUCUCCUUUUAAAUUGCCAGUGUUUGUAGCCUUCAAGGCAACUUAUUAAAUUGUAAGCAAAUAUAUGUCUAGACACAGACUCGUUUGCAUAACAGUUGACGACCUGACAUUAAUUAUUAAAAGCAUGAAGCUAAAUACCAAUUUUUCGGUUGAUAUGGUAUGCUUUGAUGAAUAUUUAUAAUUUUGUAUUCAAAUUAUAAAAGCUUUACACAAACAUAUAUAAUGUCAACGUGGAAACGAUGAAAUGCCAGAGGACUAAAAUUAAUAAAAAAAAGUAUAAUUAAAAUA
Octopus bimaculoides (California two-spot octopus) is the source of this 2324-nucleotide long non-coding RNA. The record is from RefSeq and is a predicted model, not a curated record. Lineage: Eukaryota; Metazoa; Mollusca; Cephalopoda; Octopoda; Octopodidae.